RNAcentral lists this ribosomal RNA (464 nucleotides) under uncultured bacterium. RNAcentral's name for it is "partial 16S ribosomal RNA". It matches the Rfam family "Bacterial small subunit ribosomal RNA", at positions 29 to 507 of the family's 1533-position model. The record is from RNAcentral.
AUGAACGCUGGCGGCGUGCUUAACACAUGCAAGUCGAACGGAAAGGCUCCUGCUUGCAGGGGUACUCGAGUGGCGAACGGGUGAGUAACACGUGGGUGAUCUGCCCUGCACUUCGGGAUAAGCCUGGGAAACUGGGUCUAAUACCGGAUAGGACCACAUUUUGGAUGGUGUGGUGGAAAGUUUUUCGGUGUGGGAUGAGCUCGCGGCCUAUCAGCUUGUUGGUGGGGUAAUGGCCUACCAAGGCGUCGACGGGUAGCCGGCCUCAGAGGGUGUACGGCCACAUUGGGACUGAGAUACGGCCCAGACUCCUACGGGAGGCAGCAGUGGGGAAUAUUGCACAAUGGGCGCAAGCCUGAUGCAGCGACGCCGCGUGGGGGAUGACGGCCUUCGGGUUGUAAACUCCUUUCGCUAGGGACGAAGCGCAAGUGACGGUACCUGGAGAAGAAGCACCGGCUAACUACGUG